RNAcentral lists this ribosomal RNA (446 nucleotides) under uncultured bacterium. RNAcentral describes it as "partial 16S ribosomal RNA". It matches the Rfam family "Bacterial small subunit ribosomal RNA", at positions 338 to 795 of the family's 1533-position model. The record is from RNAcentral.
CCUACGGGAGGCAGCAGUCGAGAAUCAUUCACAAUGGGGGAAACCCUGAUGGUGCGACGCCGCGUGGGGGAAUGAAGGUCUUCGGAUUGUAAACCCCUGUCAUGUGGGAGCAAAUUAAAAAGAUAGUACCACAAGAGGAAGAGACGGCUAACUCUGUGCCAGCAGCCGCGGUAAUACAGAGGUCUCAAGCGUUGUUCGGAAUCACUGGGCGUAAGGCGUGCGUAGGCUGUUUCGUAAGUCGUGUGUGAAAGGCGCGGGCUCAACCCGCGGACGGCACAUGAUACUGCGAGACUAGAGUAAUGGAGGGGGAACCGGAAUUCUCGGUGUAGCAGGGAAAUGCGUAGAUAUCGAGAGGAACACUCGUGGCGAAGGCGGGUUCCUGGACAUUAACUGGCGCUGAGGCACGAAGGCCAGGGGAGCGAAAGGGAUUAGAUACCCUUGUAGUC